Molecule: long non-coding RNA, 374 nt
Filed under: Phasianus colchicus (ring-necked pheasant)
Lineage: Eukaryota; Metazoa; Chordata; Aves; Galliformes; Phasianidae
Description: lncRNA (ENSPCLG00000021229.1)
Source: RNAcentral
AGGUCUCCUGUGGGUUUGCAACAGCUGAGGAGAGUUUGGAGGGACCAUAGGGAUCUCAGACUAAAGACUUCCUCACAGCUUGAGUUCUUACACAUUACUGUCUCAUAAAUAUGCACCAACACACAAAUAAUUUCUAUUUUCAAGAUACAAAAUGAAAUAACAGCAGAUGAAAUCCAAAAUACAGCCAUAGAGAAAGCUGCUCUUCCAGAUGGAUCUGCUUUUUAGAUACUUGUCUGGCUCUUCAUCUUCAGUGGAAUGUUUUCACUGGGUGAAGAUUAUUACAGGAAAAAAGAGCGGACUGGACUGAUUGCAGGAGAAGUAUUCUUUCCAGAUGACCCGAUGACCCAUCAAUUUAAUUUAUUUUGUUUAAAUUA